Molecule: small RNA, 127 nt
Filed under: Marmota monax (woodchuck)
Lineage: Eukaryota; Metazoa; Chordata; Mammalia; Rodentia; Sciuridae
Source: RNAcentral
GCUGGGCAGGGUGGCGCAGGCCUGUAAUCCCAGCAGCUGUGGAGGCAGAGGCAGGAGGAUCAGAAGUUCAAAGUCAGCCUCAGCAACCUGGUGAGGCCCUGAGCAACUUAGUGAGACCCUGUUUCAA